AGUGGUUGGGAUAGCUCAGUUGGUAGAGCAGAGGACU
Molecule: transfer RNA, 37 nt
Filed under: Colchicum europaeum
Lineage: Eukaryota; Viridiplantae; Streptophyta; Magnoliopsida; Liliales; Colchicaceae
Description: Androcymbium europaeum partial transfer RNA-Phe
Source: RNAcentral